RNAcentral lists this ribosomal RNA (922 nucleotides) under Vibrio metschnikovii. Its description in RNAcentral is "bacterial SSU rRNA". It matches the Rfam family "Bacterial small subunit ribosomal RNA", at positions 554 to 1472 of the family's 1533-position model. The record is from RNAcentral. Lineage: Bacteria; Pseudomonadati; Pseudomonadota; Gammaproteobacteria; Vibrionales; Vibrionaceae.
UGGGGCGUAAAGCGCAUGCAAGGUGGUUUGUUAAGUCAGAUGGAAAGCCCGGGGCUCAACCUCGGAGCUGCAUUUGAAACUGGCAGGCUAGAGUACUGUAGAGGGGGGUAGAAUUUCAGGUGUAGCGUGAAAUGCGUAGAGAUCUGAAGGAAUACCGGUGGUCGAAGGCGGCCCCCUGGACAGAUACUGACACUCAGAUGCGAAAGCGUGGGGAGCAAACAGGAUUAGAUACCCUGGUAGUCCACGCUGUAAACGAUGUCUACUUGGAGGUUGUGGCCUUGAGCCGUGGCUUUCGGAGCUAACGCGUUAAGUAGACCGCCUGGGGAGUACGGUCGCAAGAUUAAAACUCAAAUGAAUUGACGGGGGCCCGCACAAGCGGUGGAGCAUGUGGUUUAAUUCGAUGCAACGCGAAGAACCUUACCUACUCUUGACAUCCAGAGAAUCCUGCGGAGACGCGGGAGUGCCUUCGGGAACUCUGAGACAGGUGCUGCAUGGCUGUCGUCAGCUCGUGUUGUGAAAUGUUGGGUUAAGUCCCGCAACGAGCGCAACCCUUAUCCUUGUUUGCCAGCGAGUAAUGUCGGGAACUCCAGGGAGACUGCCGGUGAUAAACCGGAGGAAGGUGGGGACGACGUCAAGUCAUCAUGGCCCUUACGAGUAGGGCUACACACGUGCUACAAUGGCGCAUACAGAGGGCGGCGAGCUAGCGAUAGUGAGCGAAUCCCAAAAAGUGCGUCGUAGUCCGGAUUGGAGUCUGCAACUCGACUCCAUGAAGUCGGAAUCGCUAGUAAUCGUGGAUCAGAAUGCCACGGUGAAUACGUUCCCGGGCCUUGUACACACCGCCCGUCACACCAUGGGAGUGGGCUGCAAAAGAAGCAGGUAGUUUAACCUUCGGGAGGACGCUUUCCCAUAUUUUGUUUCCCAC